This 253-nucleotide ribosomal RNA is filed under the name uncultured bacterium. Its description in RNAcentral is "partial 16S ribosomal RNA". It matches the Rfam family "Bacterial small subunit ribosomal RNA", at positions 524 to 776 of the family's 1533-position model. The record is from RNAcentral.
UACAGAGGGUGCAAGCGUUGUCCGGAAUCACUGGGCGUAAAGGGCGCGUAGGCGGCCUGAUAAGUCGGGGGUGAAAUUCUGCGGCUUAACCGCAGGACGGCCUUCGAGACUGUCGGGCUUGAGCACGGUAGAGGCAGGUGGAAUUCCCGGUGUAGUGGUGGAAUGCGUAGAGCUCCGGAGGAACACCAGUGGCGAAGGCGGCCGCCUGGGCCAGUCCUGACGCUGAGCCGCGAAAGCGUGGGGAGCGAUCCGG